RNAcentral lists this ribosomal RNA (454 nucleotides) under uncultured Parabacteroides sp. Its description in RNAcentral is "partial 16S ribosomal RNA". It matches the Rfam family "Bacterial small subunit ribosomal RNA", at positions 341 to 792 of the family's 1533-position model. Lineage: Bacteria; Pseudomonadati; Bacteroidota; Bacteroidia; Bacteroidales; Tannerellaceae. The record is from RNAcentral.
ACGGGAGGCAGCAGUGAGGAAUAUUGGUCAAUGGAGGCAACUCUGAACCAGCCAUCUCGCGUGAAGGAAUACGGCCCUACGGGUCUUAAACUUCUUUUAUAGGGGGAUAAAGUGAGAUACGCGUAUCUUUUUGUAGGUACCCUAUGAAUAAGCAUCGGCUAACUCCGUGCCAGCAGCCGCGGUAAUACGGAGGAUGCGAGCGUUAUCCGGAUUUAUUGGGUUUAAAGGGUGCGCAGGCGGCACGUUAAGUCAGCGGUGAAAUGCAGGGGCUCAACCCCGGCACUGCCGUUGAAACUGGCGAGCUCGAGUACGGAUGAGGUCGGCGGAAUGUGAUGUGUAGCGGUGAAAUGCUUAGAUAUGUCACAGAACACCGAUUGCGAAGGCAGGAGACCAUACCAUAUCUGACGCUCAGGCACGAAAGCGUGGGGAUCGAACAGGAUUAGAUACCCUGGUA